This is a long non-coding RNA of Monodelphis domestica (gray short-tailed opossum), 1889 nucleotides long. RefSeq lists it as uncharacterized. Lineage: Eukaryota; Metazoa; Chordata; Mammalia; Didelphimorphia; Didelphidae. The record is from RefSeq and is a predicted model, not a curated record.
GGUGGGUGAUUCAGAGAAGUCUGGAGAACUGAAUGAUUAAAUGAGUCUGGGGGAUUGCUGAGGACAGGGCUGGGUCUGGGUCUCCUCCCCUCACAGUGGGGCAUCUCAGACCACAGGGCUGGGUCUCUCUUCCCCUUGGACAGGGGCCUCCACAAACAUCAGUAUUAUUCUGUCUCCCCAACCUUGGUCUUCCUCUUUGGCUUCCUCAGGGCUCUCCUGCCUCCAAGCAGGCAUCCUGGUGGGCAUCUCAGCCUUCCUCGUCCUGACCUUCCUCUUCCUCUCUUUCCUUUGCCUUCAUCGCCAUUGUUAUCAGCCCAGACUAGGGAAAGGAGACAGAGAGACAGACAUCAAGACCACCAGGAGAUCAGAACUAGCUGGGACCACCCUAGAGGAGACUGUGUAUGCUGCUGUGAAUGAUGACACACAGACAGAGGAGGCUGGACAAGAAGAAAAGGCUCUCCAAAGAGAAGACCUUCAGGAAGUAACCUAUGCCCAGGUGAACCACAAGAGGCUCAAGUGUGGGGUUCAGCCUCCUCCCCAAUCUGGCCCAGUGGAGCCUAGUGUCUAUGCUGUCCUUCGGUGAGCUUUGCCUAAGCCCAGGAGACCAGAGUAAGAAGCUGCUCCUUCAUCCAUUCUCCCUCUGCUUCCUGAGGGCAGACCCUGUCCUACCUCAUCCCCAAGACACCCUGCCAUUAGCACCUCAGUUUGUCACCCCAAGAGGAAAAGCAGAAAAGACAAAAAGCCUAAACUCUGGGGAACAGCCAUCCAGUUGUAGUUCAGUAUUGAGGGAUCAGGAGGAAAUUGAAGAUGAAUUCAGAAGCUGAUGCCGGUGAGCCAGGCGUCCAUGGACCAGACUUAGCUGGGGAUAUUAUUUGUAAUUCACAUGAUGGACUUAUCCUGGAUUCUUCUAUCAGAGAAAUGAAUUUGGGGUAAAAAAUUAUGGGGCUACAAAUUGUUCAAAGAGCUGUAGCUGCAGCCUGGAACCUGGCAGGGAGGUUGCAAAGAUCUUUGGGGUCUGAAAGGCUCCCCUUUACCCUCUGAGUGAGUUCUGAGCAGGGUUCCAGGAAGAGAGAAGUUUAACAAGUCCAGAAAGACUUUCAAAUGCGCCUCCUCCUUCCUACCCAGCUUUAUUGUCUGUUUCUUUAUCUCUGUAAUUGGAUUGUAUAUUCUGUUAAAACUUUUGGGGCUUCCUUUGUCUGGAGGACACCCUGAAACCCCCAAUGAUGUGUUAACCUAUAAUAAACAGGUCAGGGACAAGCUGAUCUCUGUCACUCUUGUCUCCCUGCCCGAUUCCACACUAGGUAUUUCUCUGGCUCUCUUGUCUCUCAUUCCCUCUAUGCAGCUCCAUUCCCUGGCUUAAGCCCAUUUCCCCAUUCCUUUUCCCAGUUCUUGGCUUCCCUUCUAGGGUAUUAGAAUUCCCAGGGAUCUUUGAGAGGGCUGGAACUUUUCACUGUGGGAUGCUGGGAGAGAAAGGACUUUCCUCUGCAUAGAAUGUGCCCCCUGGAAUGCUGGGUCCCCCAACAUCCACAAAGGAACAAAAUGAUUAUUACAAAUUAGAAAUUAUCUGGGUCCCCCACAAUAGAUCUGUCAUUACACUGUGGAGGGGAAUAUGCUCUAUAAGAGACAGCAGAGCAUACUUAAUCUCUAAAGGACAGGGGGAGGCUGGCCCUCAGGGGAGGAGGGGGAUUGUCUGGGCACCCGAGACCCCCAAGCACCUGCACAGGAUAAAGGUCCCAGAACUUACACUCAGAUGCUGUAGCCUCAGACGAGUGGGCAAGCUCUGCUAAAUCCAGGACCAUUUCUGGCAGCCCCUGCUCUGCUUGCCUUGGCCCAGGUUCCCUCCUCACAGACUGGGGUUACAUCCAAAUGCAGCAUCCCCCAAAUCUAUA